CCUACGGGUGGCAGCAGUGAGGAAUAUUGGUCAAUGGGCGCGAGCCUGAUCCAGCCAAGUAGCGUGAAGGAUGAAUGCCCUCCGGGUUGUAAACUUCUUCUACAAAGGAAUAAAGUGAGGCACGUGUGCCUUUUUGUACGUACUUUAUGAAUAAGGAUCGGCUAACUCCGUGCCAGCAGCCGCGGUAAUACGGAGGGUCCGAGCGUUAAUCGGAAUUACUGGGCGUAAAGCGCGCGUAGGCGGUAUGGCAAGUCAAGGGUGAAAGCCCCGCGCUCAACGUGGGAACUGCCUUUGAAACUGGCAAACUGGAGUGCGUGAGAGGAUAGUGGAAUUCCAGGUGUAGGAGUGAAAUCCGUAGAUAUCUGGAGGAACAUCAGUGGCGAAGGCGACUAUCUGGCACAUAACUGACGCUGAGGAGCGAAAGCGUGGGGAGCAAACAGGAUUAGAUACCCUAGUAGUC
Molecule: ribosomal RNA, 460 nt
Filed under: uncultured bacterium
Lineage: Bacteria
Description: partial 16S ribosomal RNA
Rfam family: Bacterial small subunit ribosomal RNA
Source: RNAcentral